UACGUAGGGACCGAGCGUUGUCCGGAAUCAUUGGCGUAAAGAGCGUGUAGGCGGCUAUUUAAGUCCUGCGUGAAAUCCUGCGGCUCAACCGCAGACGGUCGUGGGAAACUGGAUGGCUAGAGUGCGGGAGAGGAGAGUGGAAUUCCCGGUGUAGCGGUGAAAUGCGCAGAUAUCGGGAAGAACACCCGUGGCGAAGGCGGCUCUCUGGAACGCAACUGACGCUGAGACGCGAAAGCGUGGGGAGCAAACAGG
RNAcentral lists this ribosomal RNA (252 nucleotides) under uncultured bacterium. Its description in RNAcentral is "partial 16S ribosomal RNA". It matches the Rfam family "Bacterial small subunit ribosomal RNA", at positions 524 to 776 of the family's 1533-position model. The record is from RNAcentral.